This 405-nucleotide small RNA is filed under the name Pan troglodytes (chimpanzee). Its description in RNAcentral is "processed transcript". Lineage: Eukaryota; Metazoa; Chordata; Mammalia; Primates; Hominidae. The record is from RNAcentral.
ACUGAUCUCUUAGCAACAAGAAGCACCUUUAUAAAAGAUGGCACACGAAGAGUGAUUGCCAGAAAAGCCACCCGGUUCUUAAACAGCCGCGCAUCAUUAGCAAAACUCACCAUCUUCAAGAGUCCAAAAACUAGAAGUGACCAGCAGACCCAGGUACCCAGGGAUUGAAGACUUAAAUGUCUUUCCAGAAAAUUGGAAUUAGAAAUGAGAAUUGUUACUUCAUCUGUACUCCUUCAAUAAAGAUUGUGUAAUUAUAAACCCACUUGGGGCACUCAAAGGGCAUAAAAAAGGAGAUAUUUUAUGGGGAUGAAAUAAAAAUCCUCCUAAUUGAGCUUGGAAACAGUGUGACACAGAGAUACUGCAGAUCUAAGAAAACAGACUAGAAAAUUGCAGUUUCAAUAAAGA